UAAGCAUAUCAAUAAGCGGAGGAAAAGAAACUAACAAGGAUUCCCCUAGUAACUGCGAGUGAAGCGGGAAAAGCUCAAAUUUAAAAUCUGGCAGUYUUUGGCUGUCCGAGUUGUAAUCUAGAGAAGUAUUAUCCGCGCUGGACCGUGUACAAGUCUCCUGGAAUGGGGCGUCAUAGAGGGUGAGAAUCCCGUCUUUGACACGGACUGCCAGGGCUUUGUGAUGUGCUCUCAAAGAGUCGAGUUGUUUGGGAAUGCAGCUCAAAAUGGGUGGUAAAUUCCAUCUAAAGCUAAAUAUUGGCGAGAGACCGAUAGCGAACAAGUACCGUGAGGGAAAGAUGAAAAGAACUUUGGAAAGAGAGUUAAACAGUACGUGAAAUUGCUGAAAGGGAAACGCUUGAAGUCAGUCGCGUUGGCCAGGGAUCAACCUUGCUUUUUUGCUUGGCUUACUUUCUGGUUAAUGGGUCAGCAUCAAUUUUGGCCGGUGGAAAAAGUUCAAGGGAAUGUGGCAUCUUCGGAUGUGUUAUAGCCUUUGUUCGCAUACACUGGUUGGGAUUGAGGAACUCAGCACGCCGCAAGGCCGGGUUUUUAACCACGUACGUGCUUAGGAUGCUGGCAUAAUGGCUUUAAUCGACCCGUCUUGAAACACGGACCAAGGAGUCUAACAUGCCUGCGAGUGUUUGGGUGAAAAACCCGAGCGCGUAAUGAAAGUGAAAGUUGAGAUCCCUGUCGUGGGGAGCAUUGACGCCCGGAUCUGACCUUUUGUGACGAUUCUGCGGUAGAGCAUGUAUGUUGGGACCCGAAAGAUGGUGAACUAUGCCUGAAUAGGGUGAAGCCAGAGGAAACUCUGGUGGAGGCUCGUAGCGAUUCUGACGUGCAAAUCGAUCGUCAAAUUUGGGUAUAGGGGCGAAAGACUAAUCGAAUCAUCUAGUA
This 930-nucleotide ribosomal RNA is filed under the name Laccaria aff. angustilamella BAP226. RNAcentral's name for it is "eukaryotic LSU rRNA". It matches the Rfam family "Eukaryotic large subunit ribosomal RNA", at positions 35 to 949 of the family's 3401-position model. The record is from RNAcentral. Lineage: Eukaryota; Fungi; Basidiomycota; Agaricomycetes; Agaricales; Hydnangiaceae.